Molecule: non-coding RNA, 73 nt
Organism: Ixodes scapularis (black-legged tick)
Lineage: Eukaryota; Metazoa; Arthropoda; Arachnida; Ixodida; Ixodidae
Source: Rfam
CCCUGGCUAGCUCAGUUGGUAUUGCGCUCCACUGGAAAUGGAGAGGUCCUUGGUUCAAUACCAGGACCAGGCG